Molecule: ribosomal RNA, 1425 nt
Filed under: Streptococcus thermophilus
Lineage: Bacteria; Bacillati; Bacillota; Bacilli; Lactobacillales; Streptococcaceae
Description: bacterial SSU rRNA
Rfam family: Bacterial small subunit ribosomal RNA
Source: RNAcentral
CCUAUACAUGCAGUAGAACGCUGAAGAGAGGAGCUUGCUCUUCUUGGAUGAGUUGCGAACGGGUGAGUAACGCGUAGGUAACCUGCCUUGUAGCGGGGGAUAACUAUUGGAAACGAUAGCUAAUACCGCAUAACAAUGGAUGACACAUGUCAUUUAUUUGAAAGGGGCAAUUGCUCCACUACAAGAUGGACCUGCGUUGUAUUAGCUAGUAGGUGAGGUAAUGGCUCACCUAGGCGACGAUACAUAGCCGACCUGAGAGGGUGAUCGGCCACACUGGGACUGAGACACGGCCCAGACUCCUACGGGAGGCAGCAGUAGGGAAUCUUCGGCAAUGGGGGCAACCCUGACCGAGCAACGCCGCGUGAGUGAAGAAGGUUUUCGGAUCGUAAAGCUCUGUUGUAAGUCAAGAACGGGUGUGAGAGUGGAAAGUUCACACUGUGACGGUAGCUUACCAGAAAGGGACGGCUAACUACGUGCCAGCAGCCGCGGUAAUACGUAGGUCCCGAGCGUUGUCCGGAUUUAUUGGGCGUAAAGCGAGCGCAGGCGGUUUGAUAAGUCUGAAGUUAAAGGCUGUGGCUCAACCAUAGUUCGCUUUGGAAACUGUCAAACUUGAGUGCAGAAGGGGAGAGUGGAAUUCCAUGUGUAGCGGUGAAAUGCGUAGAUAUAUGGAGGAACACCGGUGGCGAAAGCGGCUCUCUGGUCUGUAACUGACGCUGAGGCUCGAAAGCGUGGGGAGCGAACAGGAUUAGAUACCCUGGUAGUCCACGCCGUAAACGAUGAGUGCUAGGUGUUGGAUCCUUUCCGGGAUUCAGUGCCGCAGCUAACGCAUUAAGCACUCCGCCUGGGGAGUACGACCGCAAGGUUGAAACUCAAAGGAAUUGACGGGGGCCCGCACAAGCGGUGGAGCAUGUGGUUUAAUUCGAAGCAACGCGAAGAACCUUACCAGGUCUUGACAUCCCGAUGCUAUUUCUAGAGAUAGAAAGUUACUUCGGUACAUCGGUGACAGGUGGUGCAUGGUUGUCGUCAGCUCGUGUCGUGAGAUGUUGGGUUAAGUCCCGCAACGAGCGCAACCCCUAUUGUUAGUUGCCAUCAUUCAGUUGGGCACUCUAGCGAGACUGCCGGUAAUAAACCGGAGGAAGGUGGGGAUGACGUCAAAUCAUCAUGCCCCUUAUGACCUGGGCUACACACGUGCUACAAUGGUUGGUACAACGAGUUGCGAGUCGGUGACGGCGAGCUAAUCUCUUAAAGCCAAUCUCAGUUCGGAUUGUAGGCUGCAACUCGCCUACAUGAAGUCGGAAUCGCUAGUAAUCGCGGAUCAGCACGCCGCGGUGAAUACGUUCCCGGGCCUUGUACACACCGCCCGUCACACCACGAGAGUUUGUAACACCCGAAGUCGGUGAGGUAACCUUUGGAGCCAGCCGCGGA